AAUCAACGCUGGCGGCGUGCCUCAGACAUGCAAGUCGAACGAUUAAAGCUCUCUUCGGAGAGUGUAUAGAGUGGCGCACGGGUGAGUAACACGUAAGUAAUCUACCUUCGAGUGGGGAAUAACGUCCGGAAACGGACGCUAAUACCGCAUAAUGCAGCGGCACCGCAAGGUGACAGUUGUUAAAGAUUUAUUGCCUGGGGAGGAGCUUGCGGCAGAUUAGCUUGUUGGUAAGGUAACGGCUUACCAAGGCUACGAUCUGUAUCCGGUCUAAGAGGACGGUCGGACACACUGACACUGAAUAACGGGUCAGACUCCUACGGGAGGC
Molecule: ribosomal RNA, 325 nt
Filed under: uncultured bacterium
Lineage: Bacteria
Description: bacterial SSU rRNA
Rfam family: Bacterial small subunit ribosomal RNA
Source: RNAcentral